GUGCCAGCCGCCGCGGUAAUACGUAGGGGGCAAGCGUUGUCCGGAUUCAUUGGGCGUAAAGCGCGUGUAGGCGGCCAGAUAAGUCCGCUGUGAAAACUCGAGGCUCAACCUCGAGAUGUCGGCGGAAACUAUCUGGCUAGAGUCCGGAAGAGGAGAGUGGAAUUCCUGGUGUAGCGGUGAAAUGCGCAGAUAUCAGGAGGAACACCCGUGGCGAAAGCGGCUCUCUGGGACGGUACUGACGCUGAGACGCGAAAGCGUGGGGAGCAAACAGGAUUAGAUACCCCGGUAGUCC
Molecule: ribosomal RNA, 292 nt
Filed under: uncultured bacterium
Lineage: Bacteria
Description: partial 16S ribosomal RNA
Rfam family: Bacterial small subunit ribosomal RNA
Source: RNAcentral